Molecule: ribosomal RNA, 492 nt
Filed under: uncultured bacterium
Lineage: Bacteria
Description: partial 16S ribosomal RNA
Rfam family: Bacterial small subunit ribosomal RNA
Source: RNAcentral
AGUGAACGCUGGCGGUAGGCCUAACACAUGCAAGUCGAACGGCAGCACAGUAAGAGCUUGCUCUUACGGGUGGCGAGUGGCGGACGGGUGAGGAAUACAUCGGAAUCUACUUUUUCGUGGGGGAUAACGUAGGGAAACUUACGCUAAUACCGCAUACGACCUACGGGCGAAAGCAGGGGAUCUUCGGACCUUGCGCGAUUGAAUGAGCCGAUGUCGGAUUAGCUAGUUGGCGGGGUAAAGGCCCACCAAGGCGACGACCCGUAGCUGGUCUGAGAGGAUGAUCAGCCACACUGGAACUGAGACACGGUCCAGACUCCUACGGGAGGCAGCAGUGGGGAAUAUUGGACAAUGGGCGCAAGCCUGAUCCAGCCAUACCGCGUGCGUGAAGAAGGCCUUCGGGUUGUAAAGCCCUUUUGUUGGGAAAGAAAAGCAGCAGGUUAAUACCCCGCUGUUCUGACGGUACCCAAAGAAUAAGCACCGGCUAACUUCGUG